This 230-nucleotide long non-coding RNA is filed under the name Elaeis guineensis (African oil palm). Its description in RNAcentral is "long non-coding RNA (EGUI_LNC046125)". Lineage: Eukaryota; Viridiplantae; Streptophyta; Magnoliopsida; Arecales; Arecaceae. The record is from RNAcentral.
AUGGUACACGACUACAUUGUCACUGUACAUGGUUAAAUUAAUAUGGUAUAUAACUAAAUUAUCAUUGUAUACAGUUAAGUUAAUAUAGUAUAUACUUAAUUUGCCACUAUAUACAAUUAAAUAAAUAUGAUACAUGGUUGAAGUAUAUAUAUCAUGUCAUGUAGUUGAUGUAUCAUGCCAUGCAGUUGAAGUAUCAUUGAAACCUACUUAUAUUUUGAAAAUUAAAAUCA